CGAAGGAUGCAAGCGUUAUCCGGAUUCAUUGGGUUUAAAGGGUGCGUAGGCGGACUUGUAAGUCAGUGGUGAAAUCUCUCAGCUUAACUGAGAAACUGCCAUUGAUACUGCAGGUCUAGAGUAUAGAUGACGUUGGCGGAAUAUGACGUGUAGUGGUGAAAUACUUAGAUAUGUCAUAGAACACCGAUUGCGAAGGCAGCUAACGAAACUAUAACUGACGCUGAGGCACGAAAGUGCGGGGAUCAAACAGGAUUAGAUACCCUGGUAGUCCGCACCGUAAACGAUGAUUACUCGUUGUUGGCGAUAUGACAGUCAGCGACCAAGCGAAAGCGAUAAGUAAUCCACCUGGGGAGUACGCCGGCAACGGUG
Molecule: ribosomal RNA, 369 nt
Filed under: uncultured organism
Description: bacterial SSU rRNA
Rfam family: Bacterial small subunit ribosomal RNA
Source: RNAcentral